RNAcentral lists this ribosomal RNA (502 nucleotides) under uncultured Glomeromycotina. RNAcentral's name for it is "partial small subunit ribosomal RNA". It matches the Rfam family "Eukaryotic small subunit ribosomal RNA", at positions 591 to 1092 of the family's 1831-position model. The record is from RNAcentral. Lineage: Eukaryota; Fungi; Glomeromycota.
CCAAUAGCGUAUAUUAAAGUUGUUGCAGUUAAAAAGCUCGUAGUUGAACUUCGGGGUUCACCCAUUGGUCAUGCUUAAUUGUCUGCACUGGUGCGCUGUGUCUCUACCUUCUGAGGAACUUUCAUGCCAUUUAUUUGGUGUGGUUGGAAAUCAGGACUGUUACUUUGAAAAAAUUAGAGUGUUUAAAGCAGGCGAACGUCUGAAUACAUUAGCAUGGAAUAAUGAAAUAGGACGGACUGAUUCUAUUUCGUUGGUUUCUAGGAUCACCGUAAUGAUUAAUAGGGAUAGUUGGGGGCAUUAGUAUUCAAUUGUCAGAGGUGAAAUUCUUGGAUUUAUUGAAGACUAACUACUGCGAAAGCAUUUGCCAAGGAUGUUUUCAUUAAUCAAGAACGAAAGUUAGGGGAUCGAAGACGAUCAGAUACCGUCGUAGUCUUAACCAUAAACUAUGCCGACUAGGAAUCAGACGAUGUUAAUUUUUUAAUGACUCGUUUGGCACCUUACG